Molecule: ribosomal RNA, 207 nt
Filed under: uncultured bacterium
Lineage: Bacteria
Description: partial 16S ribosomal RNA
Rfam family: Bacterial small subunit ribosomal RNA
Source: RNAcentral
UGCGUAGGCGGGUCUUUAAGUCAGGGGUGAAAUCCUGGAGCUCAACUCCAGAACUGCCUUUGAUACUGAAGAUCUUGAGUUCGGGAGAGGUGAGUGGAACUGCGAGUGUAGAGGUGAAAUUCGUAGAUAUUCGCAAGAGCACCAGUGGCGAAGGCGGCUCACUGGCCCGAUACUGACGCUGAGGCACGAAAGCGUGGGGAGCAAACA